Molecule: long non-coding RNA, 729 nt
Organism: Passer domesticus (house sparrow)
Lineage: Eukaryota; Metazoa; Chordata; Aves; Passeriformes; Passeridae
Exons: 3
Source: RefSeq, a predicted model, not a curated record
UCACCCAUUUUGCUGACAAUUGAGGUUGUUCAGCAAACUCUGCUGCCUCUUGGGAACCAAUGUGUAGAUAUUAUUCAAUAGCAUUCAGGGUCUUACCUCUGAUUAGGAACAGAUGAAUAUUACAAUAAUUUAUGUUAAUAUAUUAGUAUUACUAGAUGUUAUAUUUUAUUGUCUCAAUAUAUGCAUAUUAAUGAGUUAAUGGCAAUUUCUAGCUAAUUAACAUCAAGCUUCUUUGAUUAUGUUCUUUGCUCAGUUGACCACUUUACAGCUGCUGGCAGUUAGGUGUGAUAAAAGCCUUGCGGGAUCAAAACUUUUUAAUUUUUAAAAUUGUAAUUACUAUUGCUUUCAACAUCCCCAUCUGAAGAGCAUUGGACUGAUCUCUCCUGGAAGAACUGGAAGCUGUCUUGUGUCACUUGAAGGUUACUGGCAUUGCUGUUGCUGAGUGAAGAGUAAGGACAAAGACUGCUGCAUGCAAAGAGGUUUCCCCCAAGUUAAAUGCCACUAGGCAGAAAAUAACUGACAUUUUGGGAAGAUAACACAGGGCAGCAUUAUGUGCUGUAGCCCUGCAGAAUGCCUGACAGAGCUGCCACACACAUUCAGGCUUACACAACAAAGAUUAUUUCCCCGUGGAAAGCAGAUGUUUAAUUGCCCAAGACCAGAAGCAGGAUAACACAUGGCUGCUGUACCUGUUACAGCUGCGUGUGCUUCAUGCUCAAGCUGCUGUGUCAC